CCCUUAGAUGCUCUGGGCCGCACGCGCGCUACACUGGUCGAUGCAACGAGUUUCUUUCCUUGGCCGACAGGCCUGGGCAAUCUUUGAACAUCGAUCGUGAUCGGGAUAGAUUCUUGUAAUUUUUGAUCUUAAACGAGGAAUUCCUAGUAAACGCAAGUCAUCAGCUUGCAUUGAUUACGUCCCUGCCCUUUGUACACACCGCCCGUCGCUCCUACCGAUUGAAUGCUCAGGUGAGCCAUUCGGACCUUCAUCAUGCCGGUUUCCGGUUUUGAUGAGGGAAAGUCUUGCGAACCUUAUCAUUUAGAGGAAGGAGAAGUCGUAACA
Molecule: ribosomal RNA, 324 nt
Filed under: uncultured eukaryote
Lineage: Eukaryota
Description: partial 18S ribosomal RNA
Rfam family: Eukaryotic small subunit ribosomal RNA
Source: RNAcentral